UUUUGUAGAACGGGCCAACGAGUUACGUUAUGCAGCAAGGUUAAGGUGUUAAGCACCGGAGCCGAAGCGAAAGCGAGUCUGAAGAGGGCGUAGAGUUGUAUGGCGUAGACCCGAAACCGGGUGACCUAUCCAUGAGCAGGGUGAAGCUGAAGUAAAAUUCAGUGGAGGCCCGAACCCAUAUCUGUUGAAAAAGGUUGGGAUGACUUGUGGAUAGCGGAGAAAUUCCAAUCGAACUCGGAGAUAGCUGGUUCUCCCCGAAAUAGCUUUAGGGCUAGCCUUGAUGUGAGUGACGCGGGGGUAGAGCACUGACUGUCCUAGGGGCUUCACCGCCUACCGAAGACUAUCAAACUCCGAAUACCGCAGUCAUAUAAUCAGGAGUCAGACUAUGUAUGAUAAGAUUCAUGGUCAAGAGGGAAACAGCCCAGACCGUCAGCUAAGGUCCCAAAGUCCAAGUUAAGUGGGAAAGGAUGUGGGGUUGCAUAGACAACUAGGAUGUUGGCUUAGAAGCAGCCAUUCAUUUAAAGAGUGCGUAAUAGCUCACUAGUCGAGUGACCCUGCGCCGAAAAUUACCGGGGCUCAAACUUGGCACCGAAGCUACGGCAAUAACGUAAGUUAUUGGGUAGGGGAGCAUUGUAUACGGGCAGAAGCUAUACCGUAAGGAGUGGUGGACUGUAUACAAGAGAGAAUGUUGGCAUGAGUAGCGAGAGGCAGGUGAGAAUCCUGCCCGCCGAAAACCUAAGGUUUCCUGGGGAAGGUUCGUCCGCCCAGGGUUAGUCAGGACCUAAGCCGAGGACGAGAGUCGUAGGCGAUGGACAACUGGUUAAGAUUCCAGUACCACCGAUCAUCGUUUGAGAGAUGGAGUGACAGGGAAUGCAAAGUGAUCGCACUGAUGGAUGUGCGUCCAAGCGUCAAGUGAGAAGAAUUAGGUAAAUCCGGUUCUUUAAUUGCGAGGCGUGAUGGGGAGUGAAAAAUAAGUAGCGAAGUCACCGGAGAGUCCUUCAAGAAAAGCUUCUAUCGAGAUGUUAGGUGCCUGUACCGUAAACCGACACAGGUAGGUGAGUAGAGAAUACUAAGGCGAGCGAGAUAACCAUUGUUAAGGAACUCGGCAAAAUGACCCCGUAACUUCGGGAGAAGGGGUGCCGCAUUAGGGUGAAUAGCCCGAAGCGGCCGCAGAGAACAGGUCCAAGCAACUGUUUACCAAAAACACAGGUCUCUGCUAAGUCGUAAGACGAUGUAUAGGGGCUGACGCCUGCCCGGUGCUGGAAGGUUAUGAGGAGAGGUUAGCGUAAGCGAAGCUUUGAAUCGAAGCCCCAGUAAACGGCGGCCGUAACUAUAACGGUCCUAAGGUAGCGAAAUUCCUUGUCGGGUAAGUUCCGACCCGCACGAAAGGCGUAAUGAUUUGGACACUGUCUCAACAAUGGACUCGGUGAAAUUGUAGUACCGGUAAAGAUGCCGGUUACCCGCAGCAGGACGGAAAGACCCCGUGGAGCUUUACUGUAGCUUGGCACUGGAUUUUGGUAUAGCAUGUACAGGAUAGGUGGGAGACUAAGAAGUAUGCACGCUAGUGUGUAUGGAGUCAAUGUUGGGAUACCACCCUUGCUAUAUCAGUGUCCUAACCGUGCGCUGUUAUCCAGCGUC
RNAcentral lists this ribosomal RNA (1638 nucleotides) under bioreactor metagenome. RNAcentral describes it as "bacterial LSU rRNA". It matches the Rfam family "Bacterial large subunit ribosomal RNA", at positions 606 to 2247 of the family's 2925-position model. The record is from RNAcentral.